This is a small nucleolar RNA of Saimiri boliviensis boliviensis (Bolivian squirrel monkey), 73 nucleotides long. RefSeq annotates it as small nucleolar RNA SNORD113/SNORD114 family. Lineage: Eukaryota; Metazoa; Chordata; Mammalia; Primates; Cebidae. The record is from RefSeq and is a predicted model, not a curated record.
UGGACCAAUGAUGACCACCGGUGGGGUCUGAGUCAUGCACGGUGAAUACUCUGUUUGGAACUCUGAGGUCCAA